UAUACAUUAGACCUUGUUAGUUUGCGAUCAGAAUAAACGAGGUAAAAGAAAGAUACGCGCUUCCAAAGAUUUUAUAAUUUUAAAAUACAAGAUCUCUCUCUCUUUCUUGGUCCCUCCAUGCUUUAAAUAUGGUUUCAGAUGAUUUUAAAACAAGGUCCAAGAAGUAAUUAAAUAACAGGUUGAAUUAAUUCCAUUAUCCUUGGAUCGGAGACCAAAACGCAAUAAAACAAUAUGAUUGUUAUGUUACAAUUGUAACUAUUAUAACAGCGGUUAAUAAUGUAGGAUUCAAGGAUUUGCCAAUGUAUACUUUCGCACAAUGACUUGAAUGUUUCGUGAUGUCGAACUGCAACAUCCACUUAAUUCAGGCAUGAUGAUAUAUUGAUAAGAAUGAAACUUAGAAAAGCAAUUACUAACACAUUCCUAAGUUAAUUACUCGAGGCACGCAAGAAUAAAAAAGCAUGAUAAUCUACCAUAAAAUUAUUGAAUAAAUAAUGAUUUGAGACUCUCGUCGCAAUUAGUUGCCCAAUAGUAGCAAUUAGCGCGGUAUAUUACCGUAAUUGUUAGAAAAAAUUAAGCUUAAUUCGCAAAUAAGAACACUAUGAAGUCUAGUUAUUUUAGCUGUAUGCACUCUAAUAAUAGAAAACAAUAAUGUUCCGCAUCAAAAUGACAUAACGUAUAUAUGAUGAAAAUUAAUUUUAAUGCAUAAUUCCAGAAUUGCUAUAUAAAAUAAUAGUACACAUUUCUCUUGUAGGUUUUUGCAAGAACAGCAAAAUAUGUAAUAUGUAAUUAUUUAAUUUAAUAUCAGAAACAAAAU
Ooceraea biroi (clonal raider ant) is the source of this 814-nucleotide long non-coding RNA. RefSeq lists it as uncharacterized. NCBI's taxonomy places the organism in Eukaryota, Metazoa, Arthropoda, Insecta, Hymenoptera, Formicidae. The record is from RefSeq and is a predicted model, not a curated record.